AGAGUUUGAUCCUGGCUCAGGAUGAACGUUGGCGGUGUGCCUAAUACAUGCAAGUCGAACGAAGUUGAUAGCAAUAUUAGCUUAGUGGCGAACGGGUGAGUAACGCGUUGGUGAUCUGCCUUGAAGUGUGGAAUAACGUUUCGAAAGGAACGCUAAUACCGCAUGUGCUCUCGAUUUUCAGAAAGUUGAGAGUAAAGGAUUUAUUCGCUUCAAGAGGAGCCUGCGUCCCAUCAGCUGGUUGGUAGGGUAACGGCCUACCAAGGCUAUGACGGGUAGGGGACCUGAGAGGGUGGCCCCCCACAAUGGAACUGAAACACGGUCCAUACACCUACGGGUGGCAGCAGUAGGGAAUAUUGGAAAUGGACGAAAGUCUGAUCUAGCAACACCGCGUGUGCGAAGAAGGCCUUCGGGUCGUAAAGCACUUUUUGGAAGGAAUAGGAAGGAAUGUACUUCCAGAAUAAGUCUCGGCUAACUACGUGCCAGCAGCCGCGGUAAUA
RNAcentral lists this ribosomal RNA (497 nucleotides) under uncultured bacterium. RNAcentral's name for it is "bacterial SSU rRNA". It matches the Rfam family "Bacterial small subunit ribosomal RNA", at positions 8 to 525 of the family's 1533-position model. The record is from RNAcentral.